This 497-nucleotide ribosomal RNA is filed under the name uncultured bacterium. RNAcentral describes it as "partial 16S ribosomal RNA". It matches the Rfam family "Bacterial small subunit ribosomal RNA", at positions 28 to 507 of the family's 1533-position model. The record is from RNAcentral.
GAUGAACGCUGGCGGCGUGCCUAAUACAUGCAAGUCGAGCGAACAGAUAAGGAGCUUGCUCCUUUGACGUUAGCGGCGGACGGGUGAGUAACACGUGGGUAACCUACCUAUAAGACUGGGAUAACUUCGGGAAACCGGAGCUAAUACCGGAUAAUAUUUCGAACCGCAUGGUUCGAUAGUGAAAGAUGGUUUUGCUAUCACUUAUAGAUGGACCCGCGCCGUAUUAGCUAGUUGGUAAGGUAACGGCUUACCAAGGCGACGAUACGUAGCCGACCUGAGAGGGUGAGCGGCUACACAGGAACUGAGACACGGUGCAGACGCCUACGGGAGGCAGCAGUGGGGAAGCAUCGACAAUGGGCGAAUGCCUGACGGAGCAAAGCAGCGAGGGUGAGGAAGGUCUUCAGAGCGUAAAACUCUGUAACUAGGGAGGAAGAGAAGAGAAUGUAACUGUGCACGUCUUGACGGUACCUAAACAGAAAGCCACGGCUAACUACGUG